GAUGAACGCUGGCGGCGUGCCUAAUACAUGCAAGUCGAGCGAACAGACGAGGAGCUUGCUCCUCUGACGUUAGCGGCGGACGGGUGAGUAACACGUGGAUAACCUACCUAUAAGACUGGGAUAACUUCGGGAAACCGGAGCUAAUACCGGAUAAUAUAUUGAACCGCAUGGUUCAAUAGUGAAAGAUGGUUUUGCUGUCACUUAUAGAUGGAUCCGCGCCGCAUUAGCUAGUUGGUAAGGUAACGGCUUACCAAGGCAACGAUGCGUAGCCGACCUGAGAGGGUGAUCGGCCACACUGGAACUGAGACACGGUCCAGACUCCUACGGGAGGCAGCAGUAGGGAAUCUUCCGCAAUGGGCGAAAGCUUGACGGAGCAACGCCGCGUGAGUGAUGAAGGUCUUCGGAUCGUAAAACUCUGUUAUUAGGGAAGAACAAAUGUGUAAGUAACUAUGCACGUCUUGACGGUACCUAAUCAGAAAGCCACGGCUAACUACGU
RNAcentral lists this ribosomal RNA (496 nucleotides) under uncultured bacterium. RNAcentral's name for it is "partial 16S ribosomal RNA". It matches the Rfam family "Bacterial small subunit ribosomal RNA", at positions 28 to 506 of the family's 1533-position model. The record is from RNAcentral.